This is a non-coding RNA of Melampsora larici-populina 98AG31, 119 nucleotides long. Lineage: Eukaryota; Fungi; Basidiomycota; Pucciniomycetes; Pucciniales; Melampsoraceae. The record is from Rfam.
AUCUGGGGCCAUACCACAAUGAACUUACCGCAUCCCGUCCGAUCUGCGCAGUCAAACAUUGUAGGGCCGAGUCAGUAGUGCGGUGGGGGACCAAAUAUUAGACUAUUGUAUUUAAUUAU